GUCCAUAAAAUAUGCUUUAAGGAGGGGGCAGCUCAACUCACCCCUCACUCACCCCCAAAGCAUGCAAAGGGAAGAGUGCUGUGGGCUGGGGAAUCUUCCAUCCUGCUACUACUGCUAGCUUUAGAGGAAGUGGGCAGGAAGGUAAGUAGAUUCCUGUAUGCAUUGAGGGAGGGGGGAGAAGGAGAAGAGCUGCAUCGAAUUCGCUGUGCAAUUAUGAGGGUUGGUCGCUUUCUGCAUCAGUCUUCAGCUGGAAUCAAGUUCUCCAAUGUAGUUUCGGCUGCCUUUUUCACAUGGGUCAUGAAACUAGAACCUGCACAAAUGCUGCAAAGAGCCGAUCCAUAACGUGCCAUGAAAAGAACAAAGCAGAUCGGAUAGAAUUUUGGGAUUUUUCAGGGACAAAACCUUGGUCAAAUAUGACUUCUCCAACUUGCUGCCAGGACAUCAAAACAUCAGUCCAAAUGACAUCAUUUUGGUUGGAAGAGGAGAAUCCUGCAUCCUAUGUGAGUCAUGUGGCACAAGUUUUGAGAUCACAUCUGAAAUAUAAAUUUCUGCCAGCUGAUAGUGAG
This is a long non-coding RNA of Musa acuminata AAA Group (dessert banana), 566 nucleotides long. RefSeq lists it as uncharacterized. The record is from RefSeq and is a predicted model, not a curated record. NCBI's taxonomy places the organism in Eukaryota, Viridiplantae, Streptophyta, Magnoliopsida, Zingiberales, Musaceae. The transcript has 3 exons.